CAACCAACAACUUUCCUUCUGGCAUUGAUUUACCUAGCAGAUAACUUUACAGAUUUCUCCUCCUCCAUCUGCUACAGCACGUUCUUUGGCCACCUCUUCCUUACAUUUCAUACAACUUGCAUUCAGCAAUGUUUUUUUUUUUUUUUUUUGAGACAGGGUCUCACUCUGUUGCCCAGGCUAGGGUGCAGUGAUGUGCAAUCUUGCCUCACUGCAAACUCUGCCUUGCAGGCUCAAGUAAUCCUCCCACCUCAGCCUCCUGACUAGGUGGGACUGCAGUGCGUGCCAUCAUGCCCAGCUAAUUUUUGUAUCUUUUUUUUGUAGAGAAGGGGUUUCGCUGUGUUGCCCAGGCAUGUCUCAAACUCCUGGGCUCUAGCCAUCUGCCCACCUUGGCCAAAGAUGUCCACAUUUGAGAAUAUGUUACCUUAUGUGGCAAAAUGGACUUUGGAGAUGGGUUUAAGGAUUUUGAGAUGAAGAUAUUAUCCAGGAUUAUCUGAGUGGGUGCAGUGUAAUCAUGAGGGUCCUUAAAAAGUAGAAGAGAGAGGCAGAAGAGAUUAGAGAAGAUUUGACAGUGGAAGCAGGGUUGGAGUAAUACAGUGUGAUACACAUCCACCCUUGGGAGGCUGAGGCCGGAGAAUGGCUUGAACCCGGGAGGCGGAGCUUGCAGUGAGCCGAGAUUACUCAACCCAUCUUUGCUAGCUUUGGUGAUGAAAGAAGGGGACCCUGAGCCAAGGAAAGCAGGCAGCCUCUAAGAAGAUGAAAAAGGUAAGGAAGUAGAUUUUUUCCCUAGAGCUCCCAGAAAGUAUUGAAGCCCCACCAGCACCUUGGUUUAGCUUAGUGAGACCUAUAUCAGACUUCUGACUUGCAGACCUACGAGAUACAUUUGUGUUAUUUUAUGCCUUUGAAUUUGCGAUAAUUUGUUACAGGAGCAUACUAGUUUGCUAGGGCUGCCAUGACAAAGUAGCACAAACUAGGUGGCUUGAACAGCAGAAAUGAAUUGUCUCAAGUUCUGGAGGCCAGAAGUCCAAGAUCAAGUUAUCUCCAGGGUUGGUUCCUUUUGAAGGCUGUGAGGGAGAAUCUGUUCCAUGUCUUUCUCCUAGCUUCUGGUGGUUUACUGGCAAUCUUUGGCUUGCAGAUGCAUCACGCUGAUCUCAUUCUUCAUCUUCGCAUGGCAUUCUCCCUGUAUGUUCACAUAGUCUUUCCCUGUACCUGUCUUUGUUUCCAAAUUUUCUAAUCUUCUAAGGAUCCAGGUCAUAUUGGAUUGGGGUCCACCCUGAUUAUCCCCGUAGAGACCUUAUUUCCUAAUAAGAUUACAUUCUGAGGUACUGAGGAUUAGGACUCAACAUAUUUUUUUGGGGCGAUACAAUUCAGCCCAUGUAGGUAGAAACAGAAAACUAAAGCUACGUAAAAUUGAAUUGUUUUUCAAAAUGGAUGCUGAAUAUAAAUUGAUACAUUUAUAUUUUUGCUAUCAGUGAGUAAGAAUGCCCCUGGAUCCACAUUCUUAUCAACCAGUGCUUCCUAUUUACUGACUUUUAAGUUUGGCUAGUCUAGUGGGUAUGAAAUGGCAUUUCUUUGUGAUUGUAAUCUGCAUUUUUCUAAUUUCUAGAUUUAUAUGUAUGUUGUGAUGUAGAGAUUCAAUCUCAUUUUUUAUCCAAAUGGAUAUCCAGUCAUGCCAACACACUAUAUUGAAAAGUUUAUUUAUUCUCCAUUCAUCAGUGCUGCCUCUGUCCUAUAUCAAAUUUCAAUAUAUGUAUGACUGUAUCUGGGCUCUAUUAUGUUUGAUUUGUUAGUUUAUGCAUCUUGUGUUAAUACCACACUAUCUUAGUUAUAAUAGCUUUCUAAUAAGACUUAAUAUCCUGUAUUGAUAGUGUCCAUUGAUGUGCAAAAGUUUUCAAUUUUGAUGAAGUUUAUCUACUUUUUCUUUUGUUGCCUAUGAUUUUGGUGUCAUAUCAAAUAAAUCACUGCAAAUUCAAUG
This 1972-nucleotide long non-coding RNA is filed under the name Homo sapiens (human). RNAcentral's name for it is "HSALNT0361543". Lineage: Eukaryota; Metazoa; Chordata; Mammalia; Primates; Hominidae. The record is from RNAcentral.